RNAcentral lists this ribosomal RNA (797 nucleotides) under uncultured bacterium. Its description in RNAcentral is "bacterial SSU rRNA". It matches the Rfam family "Bacterial small subunit ribosomal RNA", at positions 8 to 800 of the family's 1533-position model. The record is from RNAcentral.
AGAGUUUGAUCAUGGCUCAGGAUGAACGCUAGCGGUAGGCUUAACACAUGCAAGUCGAGGGGUAACAGAUUAGUUUACUAAUGCUGACGACCGGCGCACGGGUGCGUAACGCGUAUGCAAUCUGCCCUGUACAGAAGAAUAGCCCUGAGAAAUUGGGAUUAAUGCUUCAUGGUAUUUAGAUGUGGCAUCACAUUUAGAUUAAAACUCCGGUGGUACAGGAUGGGCAUGCGUAUGAUUAGCUAGAUAGUGAGGUAACGGCUCACCAUGGCUACGAUCAUUAGGGGUCCUGAGAGGGUGAUCCCCCACACUGGUACUGAGACACGGACCAGACUCCUACGGGAGGCAGCAGUGAGGAAUAUUGGGCAAUGGAGGCAACUCUGACCCAGCCAUACCGCGUGAAGGAAGACUGUCCUAUGGAUUGUAAACUUCUUUUAUAUACGAGGAAUAAGGAUUACGUGUAAUCUGAUGACAGUAGUAUAUGAAUAAGGACCGGCUAACUCCGUGCCAGCAGCCGCGGUAAUACGGAGGGUUCAAGCGUUAUCCGGAUUUAUUGGGUUUAAAGGGUCCGUAGGCGGGCCAAUAAGUCAGUGGUGAAAUCCUGCAGCUCAACUGUAGAACUGCCAUUGAAACUGUUGGUCUUGAAUUAUUUGGAAGUAGGCGGAAUGAGUAGUGUAGCGGUGAAAUGCAUAGAUAUUACUCAGAACACCGAUUGCGAAGGCAGCUUACUACGAAUAGAUUGACGCUGAUGGACGAAAGCGUAGGUAGCGAACAGGAUUAGAUACCCUGGUAGUCUACGC